Molecule: ribosomal RNA, 164 nt
Filed under: Leochilus leiboldii
Lineage: Eukaryota; Viridiplantae; Streptophyta; Magnoliopsida; Asparagales; Orchidaceae
Description: 5.8S ribosomal RNA
Rfam family: 5.8S ribosomal RNA
About the family: 5.8S ribosomal RNA (5.8S rRNA) is a component of the large subunit of the eukaryotic ribosome. It is transcribed by RNA polymerase I as part of the 45S precursor that also contains 18S and 28S rRNA.
Source: RNAcentral
GACACGACUCUCGACAAUGGAUAUCUUGGCUCUUACAUCGAUGAAGAGCGCAGCGAAAUGCGAUACGUGGUGCGAAUUGCAGAAUCCCGCGAACCAUCGAGUCUUUGAACGCAAGUUGCGCCCGAGGCCAGCAGGCCAAGGGCGCGUCCGCCUGGGCGUCAAGC